This 678-nucleotide long non-coding RNA is filed under the name Nicotiana tabacum (common tobacco). RNAcentral's name for it is "long non-coding RNA (NTAB_LNC000475)". The record is from RNAcentral. Lineage: Eukaryota; Viridiplantae; Streptophyta; Magnoliopsida; Solanales; Solanaceae.
UAACAGGAACCUCUGUUUGAAGUAUAUCCUUUGCUGCUUUCUUUCUGAGUGCACUUCACAUUGAAUCCGCCCUUUGAAGUUGUCCAAAAGAAACAUCAUUAGAGCUUGUACUGACGUGUGACGCGUAUUACUCUCAGAGAAUCAAUGGAGAGGUAUUAUACAGAAUUCUUUAUCAGAUGGCCAGUCCGUAGGAGACCAUCGAUUUAUGGGGUGAGAGUUAACAGAUCCCAAAUGUUUCAAAGACAGAAGCACUGCUGGCCAAGUGGAUACAUAAGAGUGAAGUUGACUCUGAAAGGAGAGCAAUGUCAAAUGGUAAUAUUCAUGGCCUUCAUAACAUAUAUAUUUGUGGCCCUUGUUGAAUACAUACCUGAUUCAAGAAGGCCACACACCUAAGUUUCUUGCCUUGCAUGUGGCAAGAUGGAGUAUGGUUGUCAAAGACUCAUAACUUGGAUUAUUAGAUCAACUGUAAACAGGCAUUUAUUUAAUCCUUCUUUUUCUAUUUAGGAGUGAGAAUAUUGUCUUCUGGAUACACCAAUUUGUUCGAUUCUCAUAAUUGUAAAUGCUAUAGAAAAAUUUACCCUUUUUCUUACUAUGCACCGCACGUGAUAACAAAAACUUGUGCUUGUUAAUAGUGACAUCAAUUACAGUGUUUCUGGUCUUUCAGUUGCGAGUUUGCAG